UACGUAGGUGGCAAGCGUUGUUCGGAAUUACUGGGCGUAAAGCGCGCGUAGGCGGCUCUUCAAGUCAGACGUGAAAGCCCCGAGCUUAACUCGGGAACUGCGUUUGAUACUGUCGAGCUAGAGUGUGGAAGGGGCGAUUGGAAUUCCGUGUGUAGCGGUGAAAUGCGUAGAUAUACGGAGGAACACCAGGGGCGAAGGCGGAUCGCUGGGCCAACACUGACGCUGAUGCGCGAAAGCUAGGGGAGCAAACGGG
This 253-nucleotide ribosomal RNA is filed under the name uncultured bacterium. RNAcentral describes it as "partial 16S ribosomal RNA". It matches the Rfam family "Bacterial small subunit ribosomal RNA", at positions 524 to 776 of the family's 1533-position model. The record is from RNAcentral.